RNAcentral lists this ribosomal RNA (497 nucleotides) under uncultured bacterium. RNAcentral's name for it is "partial 16S ribosomal RNA". It matches the Rfam family "Bacterial small subunit ribosomal RNA", at positions 28 to 507 of the family's 1533-position model. The record is from RNAcentral.
GAUGAACGCUGGCGGCGUGCCUAAUACAUGCAAGUCGAGCGAACAGACGAGGAGCUUGCUCCUUCGACGUUAGCGGCGGACGGGUGAGUAACACAUAGGUAACCUACCUAUAAGACUGGGAUAACUUCGGGAAACCGGAGCUAAUACCGGAUAAUAUUUCGAACCGCAUGGUUCGAUAGUGAAAGAUGGCUUUGCUAUCACUUAUAGAUGGACCUGCGCCGUAUUAGCUAGUUGGUAAGGUAACGGCUUACCAAGGCAACGAUACGUAGCCGACCUGAGAGGGUGAUCGGCCACACUGGAACUGAGACACGGUCCAGACUCCUACGGGAGGCAGCAGUAGGGAAUCUUCCGCAAUGGGCGAAAGCCUGACGGAGCAACGCCGCGUGAGUGAUGAAGGUCUUCGGAUCGUAAAACUCUGUUAUUAGGGAAGAACAAACGUGUAAGUAACUGUGCACGUCUUGACGGUACCUAAUCAGAAAGCCACGGCUAACUACGUG